This 105-nucleotide small nuclear RNA is filed under the name Meriones unguiculatus (Mongolian gerbil). The record is from RNAcentral. Lineage: Eukaryota; Metazoa; Chordata; Mammalia; Rodentia; Muridae.
GUGCUCGCUUCGGCAGCACAUAUACUGCAAUUGGAGCGACACCGAGAAGAUAAGCAUGGCCCCUGCAAGGAUGACACGCAAAUUCGUGAAGCGCUCCAUAUUUUU